GAUGAACGCUGGCGGCGUGCCUAACACAUGCAAGUCGAGCGAACAGACGAGGAGCUUGCUCCUCUGACGUUAGCGGCGGACGGGUGAGUAACACGUGGAUACCCUACCUAUAAGACUGGGAUAACUUCGGGAAACCGGAGCCAAUCCCGUAGAAUAUAUUGAACCGCACGGUUCAAUAGUGAAAGACGGUUUUGCUGUCACUUAUCGCUGGAUCCGCGCCGCAUUAGCUAGUGGGUAAGGUAACGGCUGACCAAGGCAACGAUGCGUAGCCGACCUGAGAGCGUGCUCGCCCACACUGGAUCUGAGACCCGGUCCAGACUCCUACGGGAGGCACCAGUCGGGAAUCUUCCGCCAUGGGCGCCAGCCUCACCGAGCGACCCCGCGCGAGUGAUGAAGGUCUUCGGAUCGUAAAACUCUGUUAUUCGGGACGAACAAAUGUGUAAGUAACUAUGCACGUCUUGACGGUACCUAAUCAGAAAUCCACGGCUAACUACGUG
This 497-nucleotide ribosomal RNA is filed under the name uncultured bacterium. RNAcentral's name for it is "partial 16S ribosomal RNA". It matches the Rfam family "Bacterial small subunit ribosomal RNA", at positions 28 to 507 of the family's 1533-position model. The record is from RNAcentral.